GGAGGGUUAGGCGAGUGGUCAAAGCCAGCGCACUGUAAAUGCGCCCCCGAGUGGUUCUCAGGUUCAAAUCCUGAAUCCUCCACCA
RNAcentral lists this transfer RNA (85 nucleotides) under Pseudomonas fluorescens. RNAcentral describes it as "tRNA-Tyr". It matches the Rfam family "tRNA". From Rfam's summary of the family: Transfer RNA (tRNA) molecules are approximately 80 nucleotides in length. Their secondary structure includes four short double-helical elements and three loops (D, anti-codon, and T loops). RNAcentral also lists the same sequence under 1 other name. Lineage: Bacteria; Pseudomonadati; Pseudomonadota; Gammaproteobacteria; Pseudomonadales; Pseudomonadaceae. The record is from RNAcentral.